This 453-nucleotide long non-coding RNA is filed under the name Gopherus agassizii (Agassiz's desert tortoise). Its description in RNAcentral is "lncRNA (ENSGAGG00000002781.1)". Lineage: Eukaryota; Metazoa; Chordata; Testudines; Testudinidae. The record is from RNAcentral.
AUGGAGAGGAUGUGGCUGCAAGAUGUCCGACAGAUUUGCAGGGUCACUUGGAGAUUGAAGAUCUCAUGAGAAGUUUGGUCUCCCCCCAUGGAGGAAACUCAGUUCAGUUAGGAGACUUGCUCCACCACCCCUUUUUCUGGACCCAUGAGAGCAGGUUUGAGUUUCUUGUGGACGUUGGGAAUAAUCCAGACAUCGAAAAAUACAAUGCUGAGAGUCAGAUUGUGAAAGCUUUGAAUUGCAAUAAGGCAACAACUGAGAAGCACUUCUACCAGUGGACUAAGAAGUGUCAUCAUAGUCCUUUCUGCUUGAUGGUUGUUUGGACUACUGGCUGUAUUCAACUUUUACUCAAUCUGCUCAUGUUCUGUGUCCACCAUGUCUUCAAAGACAGGAUACCUAUUGCUGUUGACAAGACUGAAGGUAUCUAUAAAUGCUUUUUAUUACUUAACCAUUGCA